ACUAUUGUAGGUAUAUUGUUUGUUUUAGCUUCAUGAUUUUGAAUGGUUUCAUAAAAUUGCUAUUUUAUUGGGUAAUAUUUUAAUUGAUAAUGUUGUUUGUUUUUCAGCUGUGCUGUCUCUGCUGUCCUUUUUUUUUGUUCUUUUGAUUGAUUUGUAAUUUUGUUUUGGUUAGUCCGUCCAGCCGUAAAGGCGGUUAUUGAUUGAGAGUAAGUUGUGUAAGGGCGGACUAACCUCCCUUUUGUUUUUUGUUUAAUUGUUUGUGCCCCUUCCCUUUAUCUCCCAGAUCGCAGGCCAUGCAUAGCACUGAUUCCCAGCUGCGCUGAGACCCGAAUUGUUUGCAGUGUGUGCCACGAUUGCAGUGUCGCUAAGCGGGGUGUGACGGGUUGCAGUGUUGUUAUUUUCGCACCGUUGGUGUGACCAGAAAAACAUCACAGCUGAGUCUGGACAGAACGUCACUCUGACAUGUCGAGCUUCAAACAACAUCAUAGUUGUAAAAUGGAUCAGAGCUGAUCUGAAGUCAGAUUAUGUCCCUUUUUUCCCCCCCAGGAUGAUCUGUUUGUUCCAGCCAACCAGCAUCAGACAGACUGUGAACGCUUACAGGCAAACAUCACACUCAUGAUCAGUGAUUCAUUUUUCUCUGAACUUUAAAUUAAAUACAUUUUACUUCAUGUAGUUGUUUGUUCUGAGUCACUUUAUAAGACCCUUUCUGACCUGUACAGUCUGUUGAUGGUGUUUGUCUCCUGCACUGUAAGUAAAGUUUCUUGACAUGAAUGUUGUUUCCUGUUGCUUCAUGAGUAAAACAGAACUGAAACAUAAUGUGAGCUGGAAUCAAUCCAUAGUUGGUUUGUGGGAAAUCAUUUUUCUUGCUUUUCACCACAAAAAAUGACCACACCGACCAGCCAAUCGGUGACAUCAGCUUACUACCUGCUCAGAUCGCUUGGAAACCCGGCCGAGCAGGUACUAAAGAAAUACCUGGUACCAGGUACUGAUGACCAUUCACACUCACAUUCACACCUCUGGGCGAUUCAGAAUCACCAGUGAACUUAACCCCACUGACUGCAUCUCUGUGGACUGUGGGAGGAAGCUGGAGUACCUGAAGAGAACCCACACAAACACAAGGAGAACAUGCAAACCCCCCACAGAGACUCCCCGACCAGGUGGUGGAUGCAAAGCCUGGGUGUCACCAUGUGGCCCUCUUAAAAAUGUAUUUAGGUACUUUAAAUAUACACAACAUGUAAACUAUAAAAAUAAUAAAUGAAAGUUAUAAUGCCACUUAUGUCAGCUGUAACUCGUCUGGACUCUAAUUUUACAGUUUUGAUUUUAUUAUUGAGUGUCGGUGCA
Haplochromis burtoni (Burton's mouthbrooder) is the source of this 1341-nucleotide long non-coding RNA. RefSeq lists it as uncharacterized. The record is from RefSeq and is a predicted model, not a curated record. The transcript has 2 exons. Lineage: Eukaryota; Metazoa; Chordata; Actinopteri; Cichliformes; Cichlidae.